This 254-nucleotide ribosomal RNA is filed under the name uncultured bacterium. RNAcentral's name for it is "partial 16S ribosomal RNA". It matches the Rfam family "Bacterial small subunit ribosomal RNA", at positions 524 to 776 of the family's 1533-position model. The record is from RNAcentral.
UACGGGGGAUGCAAGCGUUAUCCGGAUUUAUUGGGUUUAAAGGGUGCGUAGGCUGUGAGGUAAGUCAGCGGUGAAAUGCCCCCGCUCAACGGGGUGAAGCGCCAUUGAUACUGCCUUGCUGGAAUGCGGAUGCCGUGGGAGGAAUGUAUGGUGUAGCGGUGAAAUGCAUAGAUAUCACACAGAACACCGAUUGCGAAGGCAUCUCACGAAUCCGCUAUUGACGCUGAUGCACGAAAGCGUGGGUAUCAAACAGG